AGUGAACGCUGGCGGUAGGCCUAACACAUGCAAGUCGAACGGCAGCACAGUAAGAGCUUGCUCUUACGGGUGGCGAGUGGCGGGCGGGUGAGGAAUACAUCGGAAUCUACUUUUUCGUGGGGGAUAACGUAGGGAAACUUACGCUAAUACCGCAUACGACCUACGGGUGAAAGCAGGGGAUCUUCGGACCUUGCGCGAUUGAAUGAGCCGAUGUCGGAUUAGCUAGUUGGCGGGGUAAAGGCCCACCAAGGCGACGAUCCGUAGCUGGUCUGAGAGGAUGAUCAGCCACACUGGAACUGAGACACGGUCCAGACUCCUACGGGAGGCAGCAGUGGGGAAUAUUGGACAAUGGGCGCAAGCCUGAUCCAGCCAUACCGCGUGGGUGAAGAAGGCCUUCGGGUUGUAAAGCCCUUUUGUUGGGAAAGAAAAGCAGCAGGUUAAUACCCCGCUGUUCUGACGGUACCCAAAGAACAAGCACCGGCUAACUUCGUG
Molecule: ribosomal RNA, 492 nt
Filed under: uncultured bacterium
Lineage: Bacteria
Description: partial 16S ribosomal RNA
Rfam family: Bacterial small subunit ribosomal RNA
Source: RNAcentral